GAGUUCAUCUGUAGAGAAAGUUUGCAAAAAUGUAAAAUAUAUUGGAGAUACCUUUUGUUUUUCUGCUCCAUCUUUUUCAAUCUGUUUAACAAAAUGCAGGCUACUAUGGGGUAUUGGAGUGUAUCUGUUUUCUGGAAAAUGUUAUCUGCUUAUAAUCUGCAUCAUGAUGAUAUGCAGCUGACCAGUGAUCCUUUUUCUGGUAUGUUCAGCUCCUUAUUUUUCAAGUUGAUCUCAUAGUGCUCUGUGUUGACAUACGUAUUUUCAUUUCAGUUUAGAGUUUGGAAGAAAGCAGGGAGGCAGUAAAAAGGAGCAAGAAAGAAAGCGGUUAAUUCACAAACAUAAACGUGAAUUUAAAGGAGCUGUUCGUGAGAUCCGGAAGGACAACCAGUUUCUGGCUAGAACGCAGCUUUCAGAAAUCAUGGAGAGAGAUUCAGCCAGAAAGAGAAAAGUGAAAGAGCUUCUUGGUAGUCUUGCUACACAGGAAGGUGAAUGGAAAGCUAUGAAAAGGAAAAAGGGGAAGAACUAAUUGGGACUGUCUACACAUAGAAAGUUUGGUUUUAUAUGGCUUUUGCACAGAUUUUAAUUGCAUCCUUUGGAUGCAUUCCUUUUGAGACAAAUAACAUCAUCAGAUCUGCCUGAAAAAGUGAAAAAGAAAAAUAAAAAUAACACUUUUGUAUGUG
Meleagris gallopavo (turkey) is the source of this 680-nucleotide non-coding RNA. Lineage: Eukaryota; Metazoa; Chordata; Aves; Galliformes; Phasianidae. The record is from RefSeq and is a predicted model, not a curated record.